UACGUAGGGUGCAAGCGUUGUCCGGAAUUAUUGGGCGUAAAGCGCUCGUAGGCGGUUUGUCGCGUCGAAUGUGAAAACCCGGGGCUCAACCCCGGGCCUGCAUUCGAUACGGGCAGACUAGAGUUCGGUAGGGGAGUCUGGAAUUCCUGGUGUAGCGGUGAAAUGCGCAGAUAUCAGGAGGAACACCGGUGGCGAAGGCGGGACGCUGGGCCGAUACUGACGCUGAGGAGCGAAAGCGUGGGGAGCGAACAGG
This 253-nucleotide ribosomal RNA is filed under the name uncultured bacterium. RNAcentral describes it as "partial 16S ribosomal RNA". It matches the Rfam family "Bacterial small subunit ribosomal RNA", at positions 524 to 776 of the family's 1533-position model. The record is from RNAcentral.